RNAcentral lists this ribosomal RNA (396 nucleotides) under uncultured bacterium. Its description in RNAcentral is "partial 16S ribosomal RNA". It matches the Rfam family "Bacterial small subunit ribosomal RNA", at positions 523 to 918 of the family's 1533-position model. The record is from RNAcentral.
AUACAGAGGGUGCAAGCGUUAAUCGGAUUUACUGGGCGUAAAGCGCGCGUAGGUGGCUAAUUAAGUCAAAUGUGAAAUCCCCGAGCUUAACUUGGGAAUUGCAUUCGAUACUGGUUAGCUAGAGUAUGGGAGAGGAUGGUAGAAUUCCAGGUGUAGCGGUGAAAUGCGUAGAGAUCUGGAGGAAUACCGAUGGCGAAGGCAGCCAUCUGGCCUAAUACUGACACUGAGGUGCUAAAGCAUGGGGAGCAAACAGGAUUAGAUACCCGGGUAGUCCAUGCCGUAAACGAUGUCUACUAGCCGUUGGGGCCCUUGAGGCUUUAGUGGCGCAGCUAACGCGAUAAGUAGACCGCCUGGGGAGUACGGUCGCAAGACUAAAACUCAAAUGAAUUGACGGGG